Molecule: ribosomal RNA, 492 nt
Filed under: uncultured bacterium
Lineage: Bacteria
Description: partial 16S ribosomal RNA
Rfam family: Bacterial small subunit ribosomal RNA
Source: RNAcentral
AGUGAACGCUGGCGGUAGGCCUAACACAUGCAAGUCGAACGGCAGCACAGUAAGAGCUUGCUCUUACGGGUGGCGAGUGGCGGACGGGUGAGGAAUACAUCGGAAUCUACUUUUUCGUGGGGGAUAACGUAGGGAAACUUACGCUAAUACCGCAUACGACCUACGGUUGAAAGCAGGGGAUCUUCGGACCUUGCGCGAUUGAAUGAGCCGAUGUCGGAUUAGCUAGUUGGCGGGGUAAAGGCCCACCAAGGCGACGAUCCGUAGCUGGUCUGAGAGGAUGAUCAGCCACACUGGAGCUGAGACACGGUCCAGACUCCUACGGGAGGCAGCAGUGGGGAAUAUUGGACAAUGGGCGCAAGCCUGAUCCAGCCAUACCGCGUGAGUGAAGAAGGCCUUCGGGUUGUAAAGCCCUUUUGUUGGGAAAGAAAAGCAGCAGGUUAAUACCCCGCUGUUCUGACGGUACCCAAAGAAUAAGCACCGGCUAACUUCGUG